RNA transcript from Sus scrofa (pig), 2520 nucleotides. It is a transcript of the gene named MINDY lysine 48 deubiquitinase 3, with no coding region annotated. NCBI's taxonomy places the organism in Eukaryota, Metazoa, Chordata, Mammalia, Artiodactyla, Suidae. The record is from RefSeq and is a predicted model, not a curated record.
AGCGGAGCCGGAAGCGGCCUCAGUACUUCCGGUACGGGAAACUCUGCUGCAGCUCCGACCCGGCUUGACAGGCGCUGUCCCUGCAAGUGGAGCGCUCUUCUUUCGCCUUCCUCGGGGCUAAACCUUCCAGCUCCUUUGCCGCCCGCCGUCCCGCCACUCCUGUCUCGGAAUCCGCCCCUUCCCCAUGUGCCGGGGCAGGAGUCCUGAAAGCCAACACCCGCUCGCCGGCACCCGAUCAUGUCCGAACUGACUAAAGAGCUGAUGGAGCUGGUGUGGGGCACCAAGAGCAGCCCUGGACUCUCUGACACCAUCUUCUGCCGCUGGACUCAAGGGUUUGUGUUUAGUGAAUCAGAGGGAUCUGCAUUAGAACAGUUUGAAGGUGGCCCCUGUGCUGUUAUUGCACCUGUUCAGGCAUUUCUUUUGAAGAAGCUCCUGUUUUCUUCUGAGAAGUCUUCUUGGAGGGAGUGCCCAGAGGAAGAGCGGAAGGAACUCCUUUGUCAUACCUUAUGUGAUAUUUUAGAAAGUGCUUGUUGUGACAACUCUGGAUCAUACUGCUUGGUUUCAUGGUUAAGAGGAAAAACAACUGAGGAAACUGCUAGUAUUUCUGGGAGUCCUGCACAGUCUAGUUGCCAAGUGGAACAUUCUUCUGCCUUGGCUGUCGAAGAGCUUGGCUUUGAGCGAUUUCAUGCAUUAAUUCAAAAAAAAUCAUUCAGAAGUUUAUCAGAAUUAAAAGAUGCUGUCUUGGACCAGUAUUCAAUGUGGGGAAACAAAUUUGGAGUAUUGCUUUUUCUGUAUUCUGUGUUACUGACAAAGGGCAUUGAAAACAUAAAAAAUGAAAUUGAAGAUGCAAGUGAACCUUUAAUAGAUCCUGUGUAUGGACAUGGCAGCCAAAGUUUAAUUAACCUCCUCCUGACGGGACAUGCUGUUUCUAACGUAUGGGAUGGUGACAGAGAAUGCUCAGGAAUGAAACUUCUUGGUAUACAUGAACAAGCAGCUGUGGGAUUCUUAACACUAAUGGAAGCUUUAAGAUACUGUAAGGUUGGUUCUUACUUGAAAUCUCCAAAAUUCCCUAUUUGGAUUGUUGGCAGUGAAACUCACCUCACCGUAUUUUUUGCCAAGGAUAUGGCUUUAGUUGCCCCUGAGGCUCCUUCAGAACAAGCCAGAAGAGUGUUUCAAACUUAUGAUCCAGAAGAUAAUGGAUUCAUACCUGAUUCACUUCUAGAAGAUGUGAUGAAAGCAUUGGACCUGGUUUCAGAUCCUGAAUAUAUAAAUCUCAUGAAGAAUAAAUUAGAUCCAGAAGGGUUAGGAAUCAUACUAUUGGGUCCUUUUCUUCAAGAAUUUUUUCCUGAUCAGGGUUCCAGUGGUCCAGAGUCUUUUACCGUCUACCACUACAAUGGAUUGAAGCAAUCAAAUUACAAUGAAAAGAUGAGGCAUCUGAGACAGGGUCACAGAGCAAGUCACUGGCAGAGCAGGGAUUGGAACUGAGUUCCUGAUUCCCCAAUCCUGUCCUUGGUCUGCUUGACCACGCUACCUGUAUAUAGUCAUGUAUGUGGAAGGAACCGCAGUUAUUAUGGGUUUUGAAGAUCCCAUGCUGCAGACAGAUGACACUCCUAUCAAACGCUGUCUCCAAACCAAAUGGCCCUACAUUGAACUACUCUGGACCACAGAUCGCUCUCCUUCACUAAACUGAUUUGCUGAGUAUUGCUAAGGAAAAUCAUAGCAGCUGUUGAAAGAGGGAUGCAGGACUGGCGAUUGGCUCCUUUAAGCUAUACACUGGUAUCACUGAUGAACUGUAAAUAACAAUUGACAACACAUUUUCAGUGUUUAAGAUAUGUUUAAAUUAUUUGUUUUAAAGCUUUAUGAUGUUAAAGGUUACCCCUAUUUAAACUCUUUAUGUGAAAUUCACUAGCAAAACUAAGCUUUACUCAAAGUUCAUCACUGUUGCAGUCAGAGCAGUCAUUUAUCAAAUUAGAAACACCGUAUCACUGUAACAUUUUUAUAUUGAGUAUCAAAGUUACGAUUUCUAAACUUCUAGUUGGGGGUUUUACUUCAUUUGGGCACAGUUUAUUGUUUAAAUGAUUCUGGCAUGCAAUAUAUCAGCCUCCACACUGAAAUGCAGAAGGGUUUAAUCUUUGUUAUUUCUUUUCUAAAGUCUGGUUUCCAUUAGAAAUAAUGAUAUAUAACAAAUUAUCAACCUGGAUCUUUGACAAUUGGCUUAGCUCUAGCAUGUUUAUAAAAAGUAGAAACUAUAAGGGAACACUACCACUUAUUCACAGAUAUGAGAGGAUGUAUUAAAAAAAAAAGGAAAGAGAAUCUGUUUGAUAGUCUUAACACUGUUGACUUUCACUGUAUUGCCAAAUAUACUUUUCCAAAUUUGUCCCAACAGCCCUGUAAGCCAGCUUUCUUGUAUAUUUAUAAAUGUGAUAAAUGCAUGAGAACAUCUGUUAUUACAUUAGUAUAUUGCAUUAUUUAUUAUGAUCCUAGUGGAUGGCCUAAAUAAACACUUUUUUUCUUUAACUG